Molecule: ribosomal RNA, 433 nt
Filed under: uncultured bacterium
Lineage: Bacteria
Description: partial 16S ribosomal RNA
Rfam family: Bacterial small subunit ribosomal RNA
Source: RNAcentral
AAUGAACGCUGGCGGCAUGCCUAACACAUGCAAGUCGAACGAAGGCUUCGGCCUUAGUGGCGCACGGGUGCGUAACGCGUGGGAAUCUGCCCUUGGGUUCGGAAUAACAGUUAGAAAUGACUGCUAAUACCGGAUGAUGUCGUAAGACCAAAGAUUUAUCGCCCAAGGAUGAGCCCGCGUAGGAUUAGCUAGUUGGUGGGGUAAAGGCCUACCAAGGCGACGAUCCUUAGCUGGUCUGAGAGGAUGAUCAGCCACACUGGGACUGAGACACGGCCCAGACUCCUACGGGAAGCAGCAGUGGGGAAUAUUGGACAAUGGGCGAAAGCCUGAUCCAGCAAUGCCGCGUGAGUGAUGAAGGCCUUUGGGUUGUAAAGCUCUUUUACCCGGGAUGAUAAUGACAGUACCGGGAGAAUAAGCUCCGGCUAACUUCGUG